GUGAGUUUGGCCGAGUGGUUAAGGCGUCAGGUUUAGGUUGGACAGUCCUUAGGGAAACCAUCUUAAUAAGCCUCCUGAUAUCUUCGGAUGCACGAGUUCGAACCUCGUAACUCACA
This is a transfer RNA of Ascoidea rubescens DSM 1968, 116 nucleotides long. It matches the Rfam family "tRNA". From Rfam's summary of the family: Transfer RNA (tRNA) molecules are approximately 80 nucleotides in length. Their secondary structure includes four short double-helical elements and three loops (D, anti-codon, and T loops). The record is from Rfam. NCBI's taxonomy places the organism in Eukaryota, Fungi, Ascomycota, Saccharomycetes, Ascoideales, Ascoideaceae.